Molecule: non-coding RNA, 7406 nt
Organism: Oryctolagus cuniculus (rabbit)
Lineage: Eukaryota; Metazoa; Chordata; Mammalia; Lagomorpha; Leporidae
Source: RefSeq, a predicted model, not a curated record
AUCUGGAAAAAGAAGAUUGCCAAAUUAGGUACAAUUAGCAGACAAGAGUGAAUGAGGUAAAAUACAAAAUGCCAAAAGAAAAACGUGAACAUGGUAUCCUAGCACCAACUUUCAGGGGCACUUCUUUAAAACAAGGAAAUCAGUAUUAUUGCUAUGUUUAUCUGAAAUAAGGCAAACUUCUAAGGGAUCUUCAAAGAAUUUCAUGGAAAACAUACAUUAUGAAAAUAGAGAAAUCAAGAUUGCCUUUGCACAAAAAUAACAUCUUUUAAUUCCAUUUUCCCAUGAAUUUUUUGAAGCAUCUAAAUACUUUCAAACAUUUUCUAAAUAAGAAAAUAUAAUAAAGCAUAUGCCCUUUCACCACCUAUUUACAAAUGAAAAAUGUUACCCUAUUUAAUCAAAGAAGUGUGCCUUCAAAAGAAAAAAAAAUUAACUUCCCCACUGAGGAGUCUUAACUCAUAAUCCAACAUUGAAGUUUCAGUCACAACUCUAUCAGAAAAUGGCAUUUUUCAUGCUUUCCUAAACUGAAGAAAUCUAUGCCAGAUCUGAAUAUUUCAGCAACUCUCCAGCCUAAAGAUUAAUUAAUUAAAUUAAUUAAUUAGAAAUAUGGCUAAAGGAGCUCCUGCAAUAAUGGAAAAUAUUCAGAAAAGGCUCUAAGUAAUAUACUUGCAGAGACAAAUUGUUUCCAAAACUUCUAGACUCAUUAAAUGGCAUCAAUGAUACAAGAAUAUAACCCAAACUAGAAUCUUGGCAUCUAAUUUGAUUUGUAUCUUUCUUUUUACAGUCAUUAAAUUCCCAAAUUGUAAAUUUUUACUUCAAAAAUAACUGAUUAUCUAUUAUCAGGCCCAAAUAGCAUAUUAUUCUUCACACAAGAAUAGUGGUAGUAGACUCUUACAAAAGUCAAAAAAUAAGUGCCUCUACAUUAAAUGAACUUAGCAUUCAGUGACAAAUCAUCAUCAUAUAUACAAAAUUAAAAGCAGUCAUUAUAAUUUUGUUAUCAGGAGAUAUCUAGAAAGGGAAGACAAAUCUAAAUGCGGAGGUUAGAGAUACUGAGGGGUGAAAGGCAGCUUUCACAUUUUCUAUGUUUUUCCAUAUUGUUCAACUCUAACACCAGAGCAUAUUUAAUAAUACUUGUGUGUUGGCAUUAUUUCAAAGAAGUAAAGUAAGGGGGAAAGAACCAUUGAUAAAGUCAUAAGAAAAUUCAGGUUAGGAUGAGCCAGACUAGCAUAAAAGACAGAAUUUUACUUGGUCUUUGUACAAAAUGUAUUCACCUGGAGAUGAAAAGGAAAGAAGUAUAAUAGAUGGAGGGAUACGAGCAAAAGUAUUAGGGCAAAUAUUUAUCAUAUUCAAGGAUACUUAAUCAGCUUCUGCAGAGCCUUUAUGUGCUUGGAAAAAUUCUUUUAUUAUUAGUCCAACCUACCAAACUAAGCUUCAAACCUCAAAUUCACAACAUACCCUGCAACUAGAUUUCAAUUCGGAAAUGAGUCACAAGAGAAAACGGACUAUAGCAGCUGGUAUAGACAUUAGGGAAAGCAUCAGUUUUCCACAAUGGCAGCAAGAGAAGAGGUCCAACAGUGACUACAAAAUCAAGAUCCUGGUUCAGAAGUGGCAGCACUUGGAUAGCACAACGGGUUUCCUCCAGUGCUGGAUGGACCGGAGAGUGACAGUUUUCAGACAGGAUAUGAGGCAUCUGAAAGCUUAACCGUAAGCCUGGUUCUCUAGCCCUCCAAAAUAUCAAGUACAGAAUGAUAAUCAGUUGAACAAGAAAAUACAGGGAGAUAUUUUUAUUGAGAGUCAAUUCUAAAUAGAAACAGGACAAAUGUCUCCAAAAGUCUAUGGAAUUUUUUAUUAAUGUAGUAUAGAUUAUUAUGUAUUUUUACAAAUUAGAAACACAGUGGCACCCCCCACACUCCAACAUUUCCUCCCCCUGCCCUUCUCAGAUUUCCACUCUUAAUUUCUACAAAGAUCUACUUUCAGUACACUUAAUGAUCAUAUAGUUAGUUAACCUUACUCUAAGUAAAACAGUUCAACAAAUAGUAUGAAGAGAAAAAAAACAAAAACAAAAAGAAACACAUAGAGAUAGAGAGAACUUCCAUCUACUGGUUCACUCCCCAGAUGGCUGCAAUGGCCAGAGCUAGGCCAGGUUGAAGCCAGGAACCAGAAGCUUCAUUUGGUCUCCCAAGGGUAACAGGGUGCCAAACACUGGGCCAUCAGCAGGCAGCUGGACUGGAAAUGGAGCAUCCAAGACAAGAACAGGAGUCUUGGGACUGGCACUGUGGUGUAGUAGGUUAAGCAUCCUCCUGUGGUGCCGGCAUCCCAUGUGGGCAAUGGUUCUAGCCCCGGCUGCCCCAUUUCCAAUCUGGCUCCCUACUGAUAGCCUGGGAAAGCAGUAAAAGAUGGCCCAUGUGCUUGGGACCCGGCACCUACAGGGGAGAACCAGAAGAAGCUCCUGGCUCCUGAUCAGCCCAGCUCAACUCUGGCUGUUGCUGCCAUUUGGGGAGUGAACUAGCGGAUGGAUGCCUGUCUUUCUCUGUAACUCUGCAUCUCAAGUAAAUAAAUAAAUCGAAAUAAAUAAAUAAAUAAAUAAAUAAAUAAAUCCCGUGUGGGUGCAGGGGCUCAAGCACUUGGGCCAUCCUCCACUGCCUUCCUGGGCCACAGCAGAGAGCUGGACUGGAAGAGGAGCAACCGAGACAACCAGGACUAGAACCCGGCACCCACAUGGGAUGCCGGUGCCGCAGGCGGAGGAUUAACCAAGUGAGCCAUGGCGCCGGCCCCAACAAUUCCAUUGUUAACAUAGCAGGAUAGCAGGAUAAAAGCUUAUCAUCAAGAAACUACAAAACACCACACAAGAAGAAGUGCGCCACAGAGGACAGGCAGAUAAUUCACUCAACAACUAUCAGAGUAUUUACUAACUUCUCAACAUCAAUAACGGAAUUCAUAACACAGUAGACUAGUAUCUUCAAAGAGUUAAAGGUAAAUAACUGACAUUCAAAAAAAUGCUUUUCUCCAGGGAAACAAUCUUUUUGUUUAGCUUUAAAGAGCUAAACAAAAACAAGCUAAACAAAAACAGAGUUUACUACCAAAAGACUCACUAAAGGAACUGCUAAAUCUCUUUAGUUUCUUUCAGGAAGAAGAAAAAAAUGAGUCCUGAGAUGCUGGAAGGAAUGAUGGGAGAGGUGAAGGUAAAUUUAUUAUUAGGUCUUUAAAAAAAGUAAUAACUGCAUAAGACAACAAAAACAAUAAUCUGUGAGUAAAAGGCAGCCAAAAUAUUUGGCAUCUAUGGCAUAUUACGACAGGGGUGAUUACCAGCAAUCCAAUGUUUUAAGGUUCCUAUAUUUGCGACAGAGCAUGAUUCUGAUUACCAUUUUUACACAUUAAUUUUUUUCUAUAUUAACAAGUUAAAGAAUAGGGAAAGCUGGUGUAACUGGACAACAAAUGAAUAAUGUGGGACUUCUAGCUCACACAUUCCAUUAAAUCACAGGACUAAAUUUAACAGCUAAACAAAACACUCCUAGAAAAAAUCAUAUGUGUUAGUACCUAUGAAUUAAACCUAAGUCCAAUAUGACAUUAUGGUACAAAAAUAACUGUCAGAAACAUCAUAAAAACUGUUCUUCAGAUAUCAGUACGGUGAAAAGCAUGCUUGACUGAACUGCUUGCUUUUAUUCUUCACAUUUUAGUGAUAGUUCUGUUUCCCCACAGUCAAAUAUAAGACCUAUUUUUUUAGCAACUGUACAUGACCAGAGUAUGGGAGUCUGUGCAAAUCUUACCUCUUAUCUAAUCAUAAUAAUCAAUCAUCUUGUUUUUUUAACUAUUUUAUAUUUUCUAAUUUUUAUCUAUGAAAUUACUUCAAAUAAGUUUUUCAAAGAUUUAUGUAUUUAUUUGAAAGACAGGUUACAGAGAAAGAGGGACAGAAAGAGAAGAUUUUCCAUCUGCUGGUUCACUCCCCCAAAUGGCUACAAUAGAUAGGGCUGAUCAGACCAAACCAGGAGCCAGGAACCUCAUUGGGGUCUCCCAUGUGGGUAAAAGGGGCCCCACUGCUUUUCCAGGUAAAUACUAGGGAGCCGGAUCAGAAGAGGAGCAGCAGGACUUGAACUGGUGCCCAUGUGGGUUGCUGGCAUUGCAGGUGGCAGCUUAACCCACUAUACCACAACACCAGCCCCAAUUUCAAAUUUUCUUUCAAAGAUUUAUUAGAAAGUCAGAGUUACACAGAGAGAGGAGAGUCAGAGAGAGAGAGAGAUCUUCCAUCCACCAGUUCACUCCCCAGUUGGCCACAAUGGCUGGAGCUGCGGGAAUCCAAAGCCAGGAGCCAGUAGCUUCUUCCAGGUAUCCCACACGGGUGCCGGGGCCCAAGGACCUGGACCAUCUUCUACUGCUCUCCCAGGCCACAACAGAGAGCUGGAUUGAAGUGGAGCAGCCAGGACACAAACUGGUGCCCAUAUAGGAUGCCAGCACUGCAGACAGCAGCUUUACGGGCUAUGCCAUAGCGCCAGCCCCUCAAUUUUUUUUUUUAAUAUUUUUUAUUUAUUUAUUUGAGAGGUAGAGUUCCAGACAGUGAGAGGAAGAAACAGAGAAAAAGGUCUUCCUUCCACUGGUUCACUCUCCAAAUGGCUGCAACAGCUGGAACUGUGCAGAUCCGAAGCCUGGAGGCAGGCGCUUCUUCCCAGUCUCCCAUGUGGGUGUAGGGGCCCAAGGACUUGAGCCAUCCUCUACUGCUUUCCCAGGCCAUAGCAGAGAGCUGGAUUGGAGGUAGAGCAACUAGACUAGAACCAGCACCCAUAUGGGAUGCCAGCGCCGCAGGCGGAGGAUUAACCUACUGUGCCACGGCGCUGGCCCCUUAAAUAUUUUUUUAAUUAAUUUAUUUUUUGAAGCACACAGUUACAGAGAGGCAGUGGCAAAGAGAGAGAGAUAAAGAAAGUCUUCCAUCUGCUGAUUCACUUCCCAAAUGGCUGUAAUGGCCAUAGUUGGGCUGAUCCAAAGCCAGAAACCAGGGGCUUCUUGCAGGUCUCCCACACUGAUACAGGGGCCCAGGGAGCUGGACCAUCCUCUACUGCUUUCCCAGGCUAUAGCAGAGAGUUGGGUAGGAAGCAGAACAGCCAGGACUCGAACUGGUGCCCAUAUGGGAUGCCAGCACUGCAGGUGGGAGCUUUACCCUCAACAUCGCAGUGCCAGUCCCCAAUUUCAAAUAUUUUUAAAGACUUAUUUAUUUAUAUAUCUAUUUGAAAGGCAAGAACAACAGGACUAGACUUCAUGUACACAAUGAUUAGAGAAAAUGUACACAAUGAUUAGAGAAAACCCUUAGCACAGUUGCUAACAUAUAGUAGUAGACACUAUAAAUACUGGCUCAAUGCUGGGAAAGCAGGAGAAGAUGGCCAAACUCCUUGGGCCCCUGUACCCAUGUGGGAUACUGGGAUGAAGCUCCUAGCUCCUGGCUUCAGCCUGGCCCAGACCCGGCUGAUGCAGCCAUUUGGGGAGUGAACUAGUUCAAGAUCAAUCUCUCUCUGUCUCUCCUUCUCUCUCUGUAACUCUCACUUUCAAAUAAAGAAAUAAAUCUUUCCAAAACAUUGGCUCAGUGAAUAAAUGAUUGACCAAGUUCUUACCUUACAAAGGCCUUAGAUUUUUUAAAGGAUGAAAACAAUGCACAAAUCAUGUUUCUUCCUUUCUAAUAUAUAUCCACUGGAUGAGCUUAACAUUUACAGUAUUCAAUAGCUCUAUUACUUCUCAGUAAAAACCACUAUGAAAGACAUGAUCAAACUUAAGUUCAUUUUUAUCAGUAUCUUUAAUACAAAUUUGCAAUUGGUAAUUAUUUUGAAAAAGAACUUAACACUAACUGUACUUUUUAAAAAGUAAAAUAUAUUUUAAAAUGUUUGAAAAUUAGCCUAAAACAGAUUGCUGGGAGCUUAUAAAGAUAGAUAAAUUGCCUGAGAGCCUGCCUAUAAGAAGUCAUGAGAUACAGGACAAGAAGAUAGUCCUGUGGAAGGUUACAAAGUCAGGCCUAUGCCACAGUGGGCCCUUUUUUUUUCCUCAAGGUCUUGACCUAUACAUUCAGUUUCCUCUUGCUAUUCCUCCAGAUUGGGAAUCUCAGACCAUAAUUUGUUGCUAGACCAGUAGGUACCUAUGUGAGAGUGACUUAUACAGAUGGAAGAACUCAGUUUUAUCAGUCUUUCAUAUUUAUAGUCUGAUCAGAAAUUCAGUGUUUAGGAGGAAAGAACCUAUUUUGCCACAAGCUUCUAGAGUUUGGAUAUAUUUUCAAAUAAUAAUAUACUUAUUUAAAUAUGUAACCUGUAAUAGUAAAUUGUGUGUUCUAUUUCACUUUAACACUUAUUUCUCUUUGCAAGUUGUGCUUGAAUAAUAUUUCUGUAUACUAAAUAUAAUAAUUUGGGAGGUACAGAUAAAAGUACAUGGAAUAUUUUUUUUUAAUUCCAUGGUACAUAACUUCAAGUAAACAGUACAUCUUUGAAGUUAAGUCACGCAACACUAAACAAACUGGAUGGUAGAGACUCCUGCCAUCUUGUCUCAUUUGAUAAUAAUUAAUGUGGUGGCUCUUCGGUCACCACAAAACUCUGACAGUGUCCCAUGAAUGGUACAUGCAAUCACAACUGUUAUUCUUUUUUUUCUUUUUACUUUAAGGUUCUUUACUAAGUCUUCAAAAAAAUUAUAAACUAAAGAUGUUUGUUUAUCAGGUAAACUGAAAGCAGAAUGUAAGUGUUAUAUAAAUUACAAAUAUCCUGUUUUACAAAUGACUAUUCUAUACUGGUGCCUCUCCUUUCUUUCCCUUCUAAUUUGCAGCUUUUAGAGCUCCAUUCAUUUAUUCAUUUAGAGAAUAUUUAUUGAAUACUUACUGUGUUCCCUGGACUACAUAUUUACAAGAAGAUUAGGAUAGAGAAGAUCACAUCAGAAUCUCCACAGGGAAGCUGAACAAUACCCUACUGACAUAGAUCACAUUUCCUUUAUCCAUGCAUCUUAUGAUGGAAAGUUUGGUUGAAUCCAUAUUUUGGCUACUGUGAAUAGUGCUGCUUACAAACACGGUGGUGCAUAAAGUAUCUCUGACACAAGAGACUUUGUGGCCUAAUAUGUGAUCUACCCUAGAAUAUGUUCCAUGUGCUGAUGAGAAGAUGUGCAUCUGUAGCUAUUGGAUGAAAUGUCCCAUAAAUGUCAGGUUUAUUUGCUCAGUAAGCAUGUUUCAACUUCAAUGUAUCUUUAUAUUUUGUCUGGAGGUUCUGUCCAUUGAUGAGAGUGGGUGUUGAAGUCACCCACUAUUAUUUUAUUGAAGUCUAUUUCUCCUUUUAAGUCUAAUAGUAUUUGCUGAAUAUAUCUGGGUAGUCUUAUGUUGGGUGCAUAUACAUUUAAGAUUGCUAUGCCUUCUUGCUGAAUUGUACCUUGUAAUAAAAUGUAAUGCCUUCCUUAUCUCU